RNAcentral lists this ribosomal RNA (368 nucleotides) under [Candida] sp. Levazot4. RNAcentral's name for it is "eukaryotic LSU rRNA". It matches the Rfam family "Eukaryotic large subunit ribosomal RNA", at positions 63 to 431 of the family's 3401-position model. The record is from RNAcentral. Lineage: Eukaryota; Fungi; Ascomycota; Saccharomycetes; Saccharomycetales.
AACCAAAAGGGCAUUGCCCUCAGUAGCGGAGCGUGAAGCGGAAAGAGCUCAGAUUUGAAAUCGUGCUUUGCGGCACGAGUUGUAGAUUGCAGGUUGGAGUCUGUGUGGAAGGCGGUGUCCAAGUCCCUUGGAACAGGGCGCCCAGGAGGGUGAGAGCCCCGUGGGAUGCCGGCGGAAGCAGUGAGGCCCUUCUGACGAGUCGAGUUGUUUGGGCAAUGCAGCUCCAAGCGGGUGGUAAAUUCCAUCUAAGGCUAAAUACUGGCGAGAGACCGAUAGCGAACAAGUACUGUGAAGGAAAGAUGAAAAGCACUUUGAAAAGAGAGUGAAACAGCACGUGAAAUUGCUUGAAAGGGAAGGGUAUUGCCCCC